RNAcentral lists this ribosomal RNA (483 nucleotides) under uncultured bacterium. Its description in RNAcentral is "bacterial SSU rRNA". It matches the Rfam family "Bacterial small subunit ribosomal RNA", at positions 51 to 531 of the family's 1533-position model. The record is from RNAcentral.
ACACAUGCAAGUCGAACGGUAACAGGUCUUCGGAUGCUGACGAGUGGGGAACGGGUGAGUAAUACAUCGGAACGUGCCUAGUAGUGGGGGAUAACUACUCGAAAGAGUAGCUAAUACCGCAUGAGAUCUACGGAUGAAAGCAGGGGACCUUCGGGCCUUGUGCUACUAUAGCGGCUGAUGGGAGAUUAUGUAGUUGGUGGGGUAAAGGCUUACCAAGCCUGCGAUCUGUAGCUGGUCUGAGAGGACGACCAGCCACACUGGGACUGAGACACGGCCCANACUCCUACGGGAGGCAGCAGUGGGGAAUUUUGGACAAUGGGCGAAAGCCUGAUCCACCAAUGCCGCGUGCGGGAUGAAGGCCCUCGGGUUGUAAACUGCUUUUGUACGGAACGAAAAGCCUGGGGNUAAUAUCCCCGGGUCAUGACGGUACCGUAAGAAUAAACACCGGCUAACUACGUGCCACCAGCCGCGGUAAUANANAAA